Molecule: long non-coding RNA, 606 nt
Filed under: Homo sapiens (human)
Lineage: Eukaryota; Metazoa; Chordata; Mammalia; Primates; Hominidae
Description: HSALNT0307876
Source: RNAcentral
CGCCAUCUCUGCCAGGUUCUCCAGCAGCUCCUCUGGGCCCUGCAGGGCCUGGAGCACCACGCUCUCCAGCAGGACCCUAAGUAGUGAAAGAAAUUUUAAAAAAAUUAAAAUAGCCUUCACUAACCUAGAUAGCAACAAUAUUUUGGUUACAAAGAGAGGACGUCAUUUGAACUUUUAAAAAGGGUUCGUGUGUUGCUGAAACAUUUAUACAUAAAAUCAGUUAUCUUAGCUUGGAUUGCCAUAUUGAAAAAAUUUUAAAGCAACUUUGUGAACAUCACAUGCUUAAUAAAACAGUAUUCACUGUGCUUAAAAAUAUAAUUAUGUGCAGCUAAAAUCAAAUAUCUUAAUGCUAUGAAAUCAUAUUUGAUGUAACCUUAGAGUUUUCAAAGACUUUUCAGGCAUUUUAGUUUACUGUACUCUUGCAACGAUGCUCAGAUAAAUGCUUUCCAAUUAACAGAUAAGUAAAGGAUUCUCAUAGAGGGUAAGUAAGUGGCUUUAGUUACAAAGCCAGGAAAGUUGUUGAACAGAGGAUGCAUUAUAUUAGGAAUUUUUCUUAACUCUAAUAUAUAUUCUUCAGAUAUUUAGGUUUUCAUGAAUGAGAAAUUG